CCUACGGGGGGCACCAGUGGGGAAUAUUGCACAAUGGGCGCAAGCCUGAUGCAGCCAUGCCGCGUGUAUGAAGAAGGCCUUCGGGUUGUAAAGUACUUUCAGCGAGGAGGAAGGCAUUAAGGUUAAUAACCUUAGUGAUUGACGUUACUCGCAGAAGAAGCACCGGCUAACUCCGUGCCAGCAGCCGCGGUAAUACGGAGGGUGCAAGCGUUAAUCGGAAUUACUGGGCGUAAAGCGCACGCAGGCGGUCUUUUAAGUCGGAUGUGAAAUCCCCGGGCUCAACCUGGGAACUGCAUUUGAAACUGGCAGGCUUGAGUCUUGUAGAGGGGGGUAGAAUUCCAGGUGUAGCGGUGAAAUGCGUAGAGAUCUGGAGGAAUACCGGUGGCGAAGGCGGCCCCCUGGACAAAGGCUGACGCUCAGGUGCGAAAGCGUGGGGAGCAAACAGGAUUAGAUACCCGGGUAGUC
This 465-nucleotide ribosomal RNA is filed under the name uncultured bacterium. RNAcentral's name for it is "bacterial SSU rRNA". It matches the Rfam family "Bacterial small subunit ribosomal RNA", at positions 338 to 795 of the family's 1533-position model. The record is from RNAcentral.